This 398-nucleotide ribosomal RNA is filed under the name uncultured bacterium. RNAcentral's name for it is "bacterial SSU rRNA". It matches the Rfam family "Bacterial small subunit ribosomal RNA", at positions 361 to 776 of the family's 1533-position model. The record is from RNAcentral.
AUUUUGGGCAAUGGGCGAAAGCCUGACCCAGCAACGCCGCGUGGGUGAUGAAGGCCUUCGGGUCGUAAAGUCCUUUUCCAGGGGAAGAUGAUGACGGUACCCUGGGAAUAAGCCCCGGCUAACUACGUGCCAGCAGCCGCGGUAAUACGUAGGGGGCGAGCGUUGUCCGGAUUUAUUGGGCGUAAAGCGCGCGUAGGCGGCGCGGUGUGUCGUGCGUGAAAUCUCCCGGCUUAACUGGGAGGGGCCGUGCGAAACUGCCGGGCUUGAGGUCGGAAGGGGAAAGUGGAAUUCCGGGUGUAGUGGUGGAAUACGUAGAUAUCCGGAGGAACACCAGCGGCGAAGGCGGCUUUCUGGUCCGAUACUGACGCUGAGGCGCGAAAGCGUGGGGAGCGAUCCGG